RNAcentral lists this unclassified non-coding RNA (352 nucleotides) under soil metagenome. RNAcentral describes it as "partial contains 5.8S ribosomal RNA, internal transcribed spacer 2, and large subunit ribosomal RNA". The stretch from base 1 to 120 matches the Rfam family "5.8S ribosomal RNA", at positions 35 to 154 of the family's 154-position model. The record is from RNAcentral.
GAUGAAGAACGUAGCGAAAUGCGAUAAGUAAUGUGAAUUGCAGAAUUCAGUGAAUCAUCGAAUCUUUGAACGCACAUUGCGCCCGCCAGUAUUCUGGCGGGUAUGCCUGUUCGAGCGUCAUUACAACCCUCAGGCCCCCGGGCCUGGCGUUGGGGAUCGGCGGAGCCCCCCGUGGGCACACGCCGUCCCCCAAAUACAGUGGCGGUCCCGCCGCAGCUUCCAUCGCGUAGUAGCUAACACCUCGCGACUGGAGAGCGGCGCGGCCACGCCGUAAAACACCCAACUCUUCUGAAGUUGACCUCGAAUCAGGUAGGAAUACCCGCUGAACUUAAGCAUAUCAAUAAGCGGAGGA